CGGGUGAGUAACGCGUGAGGAACCUGCCUCAAAGAGGGGGACAACAGUUGGAAACGACUGCUAAUACCGCAUAAGCCCACGGCUCGGCAUCGAGCAGAGGGAAAAGGAGUGAUCCGCUUUGAGAUGGCCUCGCGUCCGAUUAGCUAGUUGUGAGGUAACGGCCCACCAAGGCAACGAUCGGUAGCCGGACUGAGAGGUUGAACGGCCACAUUGGGACUGAGACACGGCCCAG
This 232-nucleotide ribosomal RNA is filed under the name uncultured bacterium. Its description in RNAcentral is "partial 16S ribosomal RNA". It matches the Rfam family "Bacterial small subunit ribosomal RNA", at positions 103 to 334 of the family's 1533-position model. The record is from RNAcentral.